CCUACGGGAGGCAGCAGUGGGGAAUAUUGCACAAUGGGCGCAAGCCUGAUGCAGCAACGCCGCGUGAGGGACGACGGCCUUCGGGUUGUAAACCUCUUUUAGUAGGGAAGAAGCGAAAGUGACGGUACCUGCAGAAAAAGCACCGGCUAACUACGUGCCAGCAGCCGCGGUAAUACGUAGGGUGCAAGCGUUGUCCGGAAUUAUUGGGCGUAAAGAGCUCGUAGGCGGUUUGUCGCGUCUGCUGUGAAAACCCCGAGGCUCAACCUCGGGCCUGCAGUGGGUACGGGCAGACUAGAGUGCGGUAGGGGGGAUUGGAAUUCCUGGUGUAGCGGUGGAAUGCGCAGAUAUCAGGAGGAACACCGAUGGCGAAGGCAGAUCUCUGGGCCGUAACUGACGCUGAGGAGCGAAAGCAUGGGGAGCGAACAGGAUUAGAUACCCUGGUAGUCCAUGCCGUAAACGUUGGGAACUAGAUGUAGGGACCAUUCCACGGUUUCUGUGUCGCNGCUACGACAUUACGUUACCCGUCCGUCGGGUAGGUACGGCCGCGACGACGUAAACUACAAAGAAGUUAGACGGCGUGAGACGUGCCGACGACGACGACGAGGGAGGUAGG
RNAcentral lists this ribosomal RNA (613 nucleotides) under uncultured bacterium. RNAcentral's name for it is "bacterial SSU rRNA". The stretch from base 1 to 526 matches the Rfam family "Bacterial small subunit ribosomal RNA", at positions 338 to 873 of the family's 1533-position model. The record is from RNAcentral.